Molecule: non-coding RNA, 606 nt
Organism: Saimiri boliviensis boliviensis (Bolivian squirrel monkey)
Lineage: Eukaryota; Metazoa; Chordata; Mammalia; Primates; Cebidae
Source: RefSeq, a predicted model, not a curated record
CCCCGGCACAGUGGGGCGUCUUGUCCAGCGCCGAGUAGCUCGGGCUGGCGCGGUAGUAGCUGGGCACGGGUACCUCGUGCUCCCCGAGGCAGGACUCCGGCAGGGGGUGGGAGUAGAGAGCUGCCUCGGGGCCACUUUUCGCCCGCUUCUCUGCGCUGUACAUGCAGCAGACAUUCUCCUCCUUGACACUAGGUGGGUAGGAGCAGGAGGACAGCGGCCUGCCAACAGGUUGUUCCAGGCGAUAGGCGGCUUUGGGGUCGCCCCAGGAGUCCAGCUGCGAGAGACCAAUGGGAUUUGAAAAUGGCCUUGAUGAUUCAGACGGCCGUGACGUCAGCGGGGUCAAGUUGUCGGCAGGCGGAGCGCGCAGAGUGGAGUAACAGCGCCACCUAGCAGCGGCCUCGGGGGAAUCUUCCGGGAAAGAAAGAGGGAACCCGCGGAGCCUCGGCCAGUUUGGAGGAGUCACGUAUCACACGGGAAACCAGCAUGCAAGACGCAACAAAACUCGACCCAGAGAAGUGUCUUUUACAGAGCGAAUGGGCUGGGAGCAUGUUUGAAAGAAGACAGGCCAGUUUAUUUUUGUGGUUGUUUUUAAAUAAAAGGAAGAAA